CCUGCCCGCGCAGGCAAGGCCUCGCAACCCUGCGGCGGCCUGGCCAAGCUCUGGGAGGCGAAGAUGAGAUCGGCGCGACUGACGGCCGCCGAGUCCCCGACGAGAGGCCUCCAGGAGGUCCCCGUCGGUCCUUGGAGCCACGCCGCCGUCGACGACGCUAGAAGCCACGCCGUGGUGCGCACCGAGAGCGUCAUCCGCUACGAUGAAUUUUCCCUCUCCACACGCCCCUGAAAGGCCGUCAUGGCCCACCGCCGGGUCCCCGACGGACACCAGCCCCGCCGAGAAGCCCUACUCCAUUUGGAUCAUCUGGCUGACCCUGUCCGCGGUGCUCUUCUGCCUGCUGGCGCUCUGCUACGUC
Molecule: long non-coding RNA, 358 nt
Organism: Thrips palmi
Lineage: Eukaryota; Metazoa; Arthropoda; Insecta; Thysanoptera; Thripidae
Exons: 3
Source: RefSeq, a predicted model, not a curated record